Molecule: ribosomal RNA, 435 nt
Filed under: uncultured bacterium
Lineage: Bacteria
Description: bacterial SSU rRNA
Rfam family: Bacterial small subunit ribosomal RNA
Source: RNAcentral
GAGCGAGAAAGUGUAGCAAUACAUGAGUACAGCGGCGCACGGGUGAGUAACACGUGGAUAACCUGCCUCGAAGUGGGGAAUAACCCCGGGAAACCGGAGCUAAUACCGCAUAAUCUGACGAAGUCUGCGGAUUUUGUCAGCAAAGGAGCAAUUCGCUUUGAGAGGGGUCCGCGGCUGAUUAGCUAGUUGGUGAGGUAAUGGCUCACCAAGGCCACGAUCAGUAGCCGGUCUGAGAGGACGGUCGGCCACACUGGAACUGAGACACGGUCCAGACUCCUACGGGAGGCAGCAGUGGGGAAUUUUUCGCAAUGGGGGCAACCCUGACGAAGCAACGCCGCGUGGGUGAUGAAGUAUNUCGGUACGUAAAACCCUUUCGACGGGGACGAAACCGCAAGGUUGACGGUACCCGUAGAAGAAGCCCCGGCUAACUCCGUG